UACGGAGGGUGCAAGCGUUAUUCGGAUUUACUGGGCGUAAAGGGCGCGUAGGCGGUCCUUUAAGUCAGAUGUGAAAGCCCGAGGCUUAACCUCGGAAGUGCAUCUGAAACUGGAGGACUUGAGUACGGGAGAGGGAAGUGGAAUUCCUGGUGUAGAGGUGAAAUUCGUAGAUAUCAGGAGGAACACCGGUGGCGAAGGCGACUUCCUGGACCGAUACUGACGCUGAGGCGCGAAAGCGUGGGGAGCAAACAGG
This 253-nucleotide ribosomal RNA is filed under the name uncultured bacterium. RNAcentral's name for it is "partial 16S ribosomal RNA". It matches the Rfam family "Bacterial small subunit ribosomal RNA", at positions 524 to 776 of the family's 1533-position model. The record is from RNAcentral.